UCUGCCUAACCAGGUACCUCUGUU
RNAcentral lists this non-coding RNA (24 nucleotides) under Cricetulus griseus (Chinese hamster). The record is from RNAcentral. Lineage: Eukaryota; Metazoa; Chordata; Mammalia; Rodentia; Cricetidae.